Molecule: ribosomal RNA, 429 nt
Filed under: Pseudomonadota bacterium
Lineage: Bacteria; Pseudomonadati; Pseudomonadota
Description: Proteobacteria bacterium partial 16S ribosomal RNA
Rfam family: Bacterial small subunit ribosomal RNA
Source: RNAcentral
UGGGGAAUAUUGGACAAUGGGCGAAAGCCUGAUCCAGCCAUGCCGCGUGUGUGAAGAAGGUCUUCGGAUUGUAAAGCACUUUAAGUUGGGAGGAAGGGCAGUAAGCGAAUACCUUGCUGUUUUGACGUUACCGACAGAAUAAGCACCGGCUAACUCUGUGCCAGCAGCCGCGGUAAUACAGAGGGUGCAAGCCUUAAUCGGAAUUACUGGGCGUAAAGCGCGCGUAGGUGGUUCGUUAAGUUGAAUGUGAAAGCCCCGGGCUCAACCUGGGAACUGCAUCCAAAACUGGCGAGCUAGAGUAGGGCAGAGGGUGGUGGAAUUUCCUGUGUAGCGGUGAAAUGCGUAGAUAUAGGAAGGAACACCAGUGGCGAAGGCGACCACCUGGGCUCAUACUGACACUGAGGUGCGAAAGCGUGGGGAGCAAACAGG